AGAACGAACGCUGGCGGCAUGCCUAAUACAUGCAAGUCGAACGAACUCUUCGGAGUUAGUGGCGCACGGGUGCGUAACGCGUGGGAAUCUGCCCCUUGGUUCGGAAUAACAGUUGGAAACGACUGCUAAUACCGGAUGAUGACGAAAGUCCAAAGAUUUAUCGCCAAGGGAUGAGCCCGCGUAGGAUUAGCUAGUUGGUGAGGUAAAGGCUCACCAAGGCAACGAUCCUUAGCUGGUCUGAGAGGAUGAUCAGCCACACUGGGACUGAGACACGGCCCAGACUCCUACGGGAGGCAGCAGUAGGGAAUAUUGGACAAUGGGCGAAAGCCUGAUCCAGCAAUGCCGCGUGAGUGAUGAAGGCCUUAGGGUUGUAAAGCUCUUUACCCGAGAUGAUAAUGACAGUAUCGGAGAAUAAGCCCGGCUAACUCCGUGCCAGCAGCCGC
RNAcentral lists this ribosomal RNA (443 nucleotides) under uncultured soil bacterium. RNAcentral describes it as "bacterial SSU rRNA". It matches the Rfam family "Bacterial small subunit ribosomal RNA", at positions 26 to 518 of the family's 1533-position model. The record is from RNAcentral.